UGAGGCAGGAGAAUUGCUUGAACCCAGGAAGCAGAGGUUGCAGUGAGCCGAGAUCGUGCCACUGCACUCCAGCCUGAGUGACAGCACGAGACUCCGUCUC
Molecule: microRNA precursor, 100 nt
Filed under: Saimiri boliviensis boliviensis (Bolivian squirrel monkey)
Lineage: Eukaryota; Metazoa; Chordata; Mammalia; Primates; Cebidae
Description: miRNA (ENSSBOG00000005877.1)
Source: RNAcentral